This 244-nucleotide unclassified non-coding RNA is filed under the name plant metagenome. Its description in RNAcentral is "partial contains small subunit ribosomal RNA, internal transcribed spacer 1, and 5.8S ribosomal RNA". The record is from RNAcentral.
UCUCCGUUGGUGAACCAGCGGAGGGAUCAUUACAGAGUUUACAACUCCCAAACCCAAAUGUGAACAUACCAAUCGUUGCUUCGGCGGACUCGUCCCGGCGUCCGGGUGGCCUUGUGCUGCCCGCGGCCCGGAUCCAGGCGGCCGCCGGAGACCAUCAAACCCUUUGUAUUAUACGUAUCAUCUGAAUCCGCCGCAAGGCAAGACAAAUGAAUCAAAACUUUCAACAACGGAUCUCUUGGUUCUG